GGGUUGUGAGGUUAAGCGACUAAGCGUACACGGUGGAUGCCCUGGCAGUCAGAGGCGAUGAAGGACGUGCUAAUCUGCGAUAAGCGCCGGUAAGGUGAUAUGAACCGUUAUAACCGGCGAUUUCCGAAUGGGGAAACCCAGUGUGACUCGUCACACUAUCAUUAACUGAAUCCAUAGGUUAAUGAGGCGAACCGGGGGAACUGAAACAUCUAAGUACCCCGAGGAAAAGAAAUCAACCGAGAUUCCCCCAGUAGCGGCGAGCGAACGGGGAGGAGCCCAGAGCCUGAAUCAGCAUGUGUGUUAGUGGAAGCGUCUGGAAAGGCGCGCGAUACAGGGUGACAGCCCCGUACACAAAAGCGCAUGUGCUGUGAGCUCGAUGAGUAGGGCGGGACACGUGGUAUCCUGUCUGAAUAUGGGGGGACCAUCCUCCAAGGCUAAAUACUCCUGACUGACCGAUAGUGAACCAGUACCGUGAGGGAAAGGCGAAAAGAACCCCGGCGAGGGGAGUGAAAAAGAACCUGAAACCGUGUACGUACAAGCAGUGGGAGCCCCACCACUAAGCCAGUGGUGAACUCCACAUACGCAUCCUUUGCUGAGGAUACGGUUAACGGAGCGAAAGCGACGUUCAACCGCAAAAGAAGCAGAGGGGGCUUAGUGGUGGGGUGACUGCGUACCUUUUGUAUAAUGGGUCAGCGACUUAUAUUCUGUAGCAAGGUUAACCGAAUAGGGGAGCCGGAGGGAAACCGAGUCUUAAUUGGGCGUUAAGUUGCAGGGUAUAGACCCGAAACCCGGUGAUCUAGCCAUGGGCAGGUUGAAGGUUGGGUAACACUAACUGGAGGACCGAACCGACUAAUGUUGAAAAAUUAGCGGAUGACCUGUGGCUGGGGGUGAAAGGCCAAUCAAACCGGGAGAUAGCUGGUUCUCCCCGAAAGCUAUUUAGGU
RNAcentral lists this ribosomal RNA (942 nucleotides) under Salmonella enterica subsp. enterica serovar Paratyphi B. Its description in RNAcentral is "bacterial LSU rRNA". It matches the Rfam family "Bacterial large subunit ribosomal RNA", at positions 1 to 875 of the family's 2925-position model. Lineage: Bacteria; Pseudomonadati; Pseudomonadota; Gammaproteobacteria; Enterobacterales; Enterobacteriaceae. The record is from RNAcentral.